RNAcentral lists this ribosomal RNA (1498 nucleotides) under uncultured bacterium. RNAcentral's name for it is "16S ribosomal RNA". It matches the Rfam family "Bacterial small subunit ribosomal RNA". The record is from RNAcentral.
UUAGAGUUUGAUAGUGGCUCAGGAUGAACGCUGGCGGCGUGCCUAAUACAUGCAAGUCGAACGGGUGUAGCAAUACACUAGUGGCGAACGGGUGAGUAACACGUUGGUGACCUGCCCUAAAGAGGGGAAUACCACUUCGAAAGGAGUGACAAAACCGCAUAAGCUAGUGCUAGUUAGAGAGGCAUUAGUAAAAGAGCAAUCUACUUUAGGAGGGGCCUGCGGCCCAUCAGCUAGUUGGUGAGGUAAAAGCCCACCAAGGCGAAGACGGGUAGGGGACCUGAGAGGGUGAUCCCCCACAAUGGAACUGAAACACGGUCCAUACACCUGCGGGUGGCAGCAGUAGGGAAUAUUGCUUAAUGGGCGAAAGCCUGAAGCAGCAACGCCGCGUGAACGAAGAAGGCCUUCGGGUCGUAAAGUUCUUUUACGUGGGAUGAGGAAGGACAGUACCACGAGAAUAAGUCUCGGCUAACUACGUGCCAGCAGCCGCGGUAAAACGUAGGAGACGAGCGUUAUCCGGAUUUACUGGGCGUAAAGCGCGUGUAGGAGGCGCUACAAGUUGGAUGUGAAAGCUCCCGGCUUAACUGGGAGAGGUCGUUCAAGACUGUAGUGCUAGAGUGAGGCAGAGGUAGAUGGAACUCCGGGAGUAGUGGUGAAAUGCGUAGAUAUCCGGAAGAACACCAGAGGCGAAAGCGAUCUACUGGGCCUAAACUGACACUGAGACGCGAAAGCCAGGGUAGCAAACGGGAUUAGAGACCCCGGUAGUUCCUGGCCGUAAACGAUGUAGACUGAGCGUUGGUUGGGGUAAAAACCAAUCAGUGCUGAAAGCAAACGCGAUAUGUCUACCGCCUGGGGGAGUACGGUUCGCAAGAUUAAAAACUCAAAGGAAUUGACGGGGGCCCGCACAAGCAGCGGAGCGUGUGGUUUAAUUCGAUGAUACACGAAGAACCUUACCAGGGUUUGACAUACAAAGUGGUAGUGAAGCGAAAGCAGAACGACCCUUCGGGGAGCUUGAACAGGUGCUGCAUGGCUGUCGUCAGCUCGUGUCGUGAGAUGUUCGGUUAAGUCCGCUAACGAGCGCAACCCUUGUUGUGUGUUGCACGUAUCACGCAAGACCGCCGGUAGAAAGCCGGAGGAAGGUGGGGAUGACGUCAAGUCAGCAUGGCCUAUAUAUCCUGGGCUACACACACGCUACAAUGGUCGGUACAAUGGGUAGCUAAGCCGCGAGGCGGAGCCAAUCCUAAAAAGCCGGUCUCAGUUCAGAUUGCAGGCUGCAACUCGCCUGCAUGAAGAUGGAGUUGCUAGUAACCGCAGGUCAGCGAUACUGCGGUGAAUACGUUCCCGGGCCUUGUACACACCGCCCGUCACGUCAUGGGAGUUGGCAACACCUGAAGUCGGUAUCCUAACCGAAAGGGGGGAGCCGCCAAAGGUGGGGUGGAUAACUGGGACGAAGUCGUAACAAGGUAGGGCUACCGGAAGGUGGCCCUGGAUCACCUCCUUU